RNAcentral lists this ribosomal RNA (777 nucleotides) under uncultured bacterium. RNAcentral's name for it is "bacterial SSU rRNA". It matches the Rfam family "Bacterial small subunit ribosomal RNA", at positions 335 to 1121 of the family's 1533-position model. The record is from RNAcentral.
ACUCCUCGGGAGGCAGCAGUGGGGAAUAUUGCGCAAUGGGCGAAAGCCUGACGCAGCGACGCCGCGUGAGGGAUGACGGCCUUCGGGUUGUAAACCUCUUUCAGUAGGGACGAAGCGAAAGUGACGGUACCUACAGAAGAAGCACCGGCCAACUACGUGCCAGCAGCCGCGGUAAUACGUAGGGUGCAAGCGUUGUCCGGAAUUAUUGGGCGUAAAGAGCUCGUAGGCGGUCUGUCGCGUCGGCUGUGAAAACCCGAGGCUCAACCUCGGGCCUGCAGUCGAUACGGGCAAACUAGAGUACUGCAGGGGAGACUGGAAUUCCUGGUGUAGCGGUGAAAUGCGCAGAUAUCAGGAGGAACACCGGUGGCGAAGGCGGGUCUCUGGGCAGUAACUGACGCUGAGGAGCGAAAGCGUGGGGAGCGAACAGGAUUAGAUACCCUGGUAGUCCACGCCGUAAACGUUGGGCGCUAGGCGUGGGGGCCAUUCCACGGUCUCCGUGCCGCAGCUAACGUAUUAAGCGCCCCGCCUGGGGAGUACGGCCGCAAGGCUAAAGCUCAAAGGAAUUGACGGGGGCCCGCACAAGCGGCGGGAGCAUGUUGCUUAAUUCGAUGCGACGCGAAGAACCUUACCUAGGCUUGACAUGCACGGAAAUCUGCCANAGAUGGCANGUCCUUUAAGGGUCGUGCACANGUGGUGCAUGGUUGUCGUCAGCUCGUGUCGUGAGAUGUUGGGUUAAGUCCCGCAACCGAGCGCAACCCUCGUUUCUANGAUGGCCAG